RNAcentral lists this ribosomal RNA (393 nucleotides) under uncultured bacterium. RNAcentral's name for it is "partial 16S ribosomal RNA". It matches the Rfam family "Bacterial small subunit ribosomal RNA", at positions 523 to 918 of the family's 1533-position model. The record is from RNAcentral.
AUACGGAGGAUCCGAGCGUUAUCCGGAUUUAUUGGGUUUAAAGGGAGCGUAGGCGGACGCUUAAGUCAGUUGUGAAAGUUUGCGGCUCAACCGUAAAAUUGCAGUUGAUACUGUGUGUCUUGAGUACAGUAGAGGUGGGCGGAAUUCGUGGUGUAGCGGUGAAAUGCUUAGAUAUCACGAAGAACUCCGAUUGCGAAGGCAGCUCACUGGACUGUUACUGACACUGAUGCUCGAAAGUGUGGGUAUCAAACAGGAUUAGAUACCCUGGUAGUCCACACAGUAAACGAUGAAUACUCGCUGUUUGCGAUAUACAGUAAGCGGCCAAGCGAAAGCAUUAAGUAUUCCACCUGGGGAGUACGCCGGCAACGGUGAAACUCAAAUGAAUUGGCGGGG